This 482-nucleotide small RNA is filed under the name Pongo abelii (Sumatran orangutan). RNAcentral's name for it is "3prime overlapping ncRNA". The record is from RNAcentral. Lineage: Eukaryota; Metazoa; Chordata; Mammalia; Primates; Hominidae.
GUUUUAAAUAAAGGCCAGAGGUUGGACAGGGAGUUGCUGGCAUGUCCACGCCUUGGCCUAGUAGAAUGCCCACUAACCAUCUUGCUCCAGCAGCUGAAAAGGUCAGAAGUUAAACAUGGUGAAGAGUCCAGUUCCUGGAUUCACAGAGCCCAGCAUGAGGCUCUCUCCCCUGCAGGCUGCAAGGCCAGCCCUUGAGACCGUGUCAGGUAAUAACGUGCUGGGGGACACACAGGUUCCCACCACCCUCCUGUGCUGCUGCAAACCUAGUGAUCCCUGGUAUAUGGGACAGUACCACAAGAAAGCCGAUCUGAUCAUGCCCCAGAACCCACUGAUCGCGUGGACGUAAAACGACUGCUCUUACGGUGUGAAGUAGAGUCAUCCUGUUCAAGGGAAGAAAAAGCUCACUCUUUUAAACCUGUUUCUCUCUGUCUCAGUUAGUAGCUAUUACACCCAAAUCGUUGAGUUUUUAAAAAUUAUUUUAA